Musa acuminata subsp. malaccensis (wild Malaysian banana) is the source of this 1588-nucleotide RNA transcript. It is a transcript of the gene named putative lipase ROG1, with no coding region annotated. Lineage: Eukaryota; Viridiplantae; Streptophyta; Magnoliopsida; Zingiberales; Musaceae. The record is from RefSeq and is a predicted model, not a curated record.
ACUAUGAUUCGUUUCUUUCAUCUCCUCCUCGCCCAACUACCCGUCUCUCCCCCUCCGCCUCUCCAACCUCCUCCUUCCCUUCUCUGCCCUCUCGUGGUUCUUCGAUUUGAUCGCGAUCUGUGCGGUCGAGAGAUCUUUGGCUUGGUAUGGUGCGUGAGAUGAAUGGAGGGGUGGGGGACGUCGGGGGAGAGGAUUGGACGGAGGAGGAGAGCGUCAAUGGCGGGAACGACGUUUGGAGCUCGUCCCGCCCCGCGGACCACCUUGUGGUGAUGGUUCAUGGCAUCCUCGGGAGCACUGCUGACUGGAAGUUUGCAGCCCAGCAAUUUGUUGCAAUGCUUCCAGAUAAAGUGAUAGUUCAUUGCAGUGAAAGCAACAUGUAUAAGCUAACAUUAGAUGGUGUUGAUAUUAUGGGUGAACGAUUAGCAGAAGAGAUUAUUGAAGUGGUCAACAAAAGGCUGUAUCUUCGAAAAAUUUCAUUUAUUGCACACUCGGUUGGAGGAUUGGUUGCAAGAUAUGCAAUUGGGAGACUGUAUAGACCCCUCAUAAUGAAAUCCCUAGAAAAUCCUCUCUGUGAUGCCUGUGAUGAUAGUCACAGAGGUACUAUCUAUGGUCUGGAAGCAGUCAAUUUCAUCACAGUUGCUACACCCCAUCUUGGUUCUAGAGGAAACAAACAGGUCCCAUUUCUUUUCGGUGUCACUGCCAUUGAAAAAGUUGCUUCUCUUGUCAUUCACUGGAUAUUUAGAAGAACGGGCAAACAUCUUUUCCUAACAGACGAUGAUGAAGGAAAGCCUCCAUUAUUGCAACGAAUGGUGGAUGAUUGUGAUGACCUUCAGUUUAUGUCUUCCCUGCAAGCAUUCAAACGCCGAGUGGCCUAUUCCAAUGUUGGUUAUGAUCACAUAGUCGGCUGGAGGACGUCAUCUAUCAGGCGUAACUCUCAACUGCCUAAGUGGGAGGAUUCGCUGAGUGAGAAAUACCCACAUGUUGUAUAUGAAGAAUACUCAGCAGGAAGCAGAAAUGAUAAGUGCACAGAUGAUUCACUUAUUAAUGGUGACUGUGAUCUAUUAGAAGAAAAGCUAGUAACAGGCCUCGCACAUUUGUCUUGGGAAAAAGUCGAUGUCAGUUUUCACAACAGCAGCAUCCAUAGGUUUGCUGCACAUAGUGUCAUUCAGGUUAAGGAUCCAUUCAUGCAUAUAGAAGGUGCAGACGUUAUACAACAUAUGAUCGAUCACUUUCUUACUUGAGGAAACUAAAGAAAUUUUGGGUUGAAAUGAUGAUUGUGCUCCUGUAUGCAAGUUCUUCAUCGGAAGAGUACAUAGCUACUCAGAUGCCAGAUGGAAAAUAAGAUAUUCUGCUCUUGUCCACCAUUUUCGAUAUGGGAUGAUGUCAAGACAAAACCUUAAAAAUGAUACAUGAUGUCAUGGCAAGAAAAAAAAGAAUCAUCUGCAUCUUCUUAUAUUUGAGUAAAGAUGCAAGGUUGAGAGGUAUUAUAAGAGUUAUUUAAAAUUCACAUCAUAUAUUUUGUCGUGGUAAUAUUUUGUAAGGUUUCCUUUUAUAAAUGUUAUAUAGGCAUCAAAAUUUGCAUUAUUAA